RNAcentral lists this ribosomal RNA (484 nucleotides) under uncultured bacterium. Its description in RNAcentral is "partial 16S ribosomal RNA". It matches the Rfam family "Bacterial small subunit ribosomal RNA", at positions 28 to 523 of the family's 1533-position model. The record is from RNAcentral.
GACGAACGCUGGCGGCGUGCUUAACACAUGCAAGUCGAACGAUGAAGCCGGAGCUUGCUCUGGUGAAUUAGUGGCGAACGGGUGAGUAACACGUGAGUAACCUGCCCUUGACUCUGGGAUAACUGCUAGAAAUGGUAGCUAAUACCGGAUACGACCCUCGGAGGCAUCUCCAGGGGGUGGAAAGAAUUUCGGUCAAGGAUGGACUCGCGGCCGAUCAGGUAGUUGGUGAGGUAACGGCGCACCAAGGCGACGACGGGUAGCCGGCCUGAGAGGGGGACCGGCCACACUGGGACUGAGACACGGCCCAGACUCCUACGGGAGGCAGCAGUGGGGAAUAUUGCACAAUGGGCGCAAGCCUGAUGCAGCAACGCCGCGUGAGGGAUGACGGCCUUCGGGUUGUAAACCUCUUUUAGUAGGGAAGAAGCGAAAGUGACGGUACCUGCAGAAAAAGCACCGGCUAACUACGUGCCAGCAGCCGCAGUAA